RNAcentral lists this transfer RNA (90 nucleotides) under Bdellovibrionales bacterium. RNAcentral describes it as "tRNA-Ser". It matches the Rfam family "tRNA". From Rfam's summary of the family: Transfer RNA (tRNA) molecules are approximately 80 nucleotides in length. Their secondary structure includes four short double-helical elements and three loops (D, anti-codon, and T loops). Lineage: Bacteria; Pseudomonadati; Bdellovibrionota; Bdellovibrionia; Bdellovibrionales. The record is from RNAcentral.
GGAGAGAUGGCUGAGCGGUUGAAAGCACCGGUCUUGAAAACCGGCAUACUCUUACGAGUAUCGUGGGUUCGAAUCCCACUCUCUCCGCCA